Molecule: ribosomal RNA, 249 nt
Filed under: Triticum aestivum (bread wheat)
Lineage: Eukaryota; Viridiplantae; Streptophyta; Magnoliopsida; Poales; Poaceae
Description: partial small subunit ribosomal RNA
Source: RNAcentral
AUGGGGUCCAACGAGGCUAACAAGCCGCUGCGGCGGAUCGGUGCGUCGUUCGAGCAGCUCGCGGCCGUCGCCAAGCCGCAGCAGCAGCCCGCUAUGGCGGCGGGGGACUUCUCGCGUGCCUGCUCCAACGUAUCCGUCCUCUUCGGCUGCCUCGGCAUCGCCUUCAAAUUUUCCGAGAUGGACUACGUCGCCAAGGCAAGCGGCCGCUCCUCAGCCCCCCUCUCCUCCCCCGCUACCUGCUCUUUUUGA